UACCAACUGGUGAAUGUCCUUGGCCUGUAGUGCAAGGAUGAAUAUUUGAUCCCAGAUAUAUAUUGAUUGAUGUUACAGGGAUAAAAAAAAUAGACGAUGAACUUUAAAAUUCAUACAUAGAAGAUAGUAGUUUGCAUUCUCUACUUAACUCUUCUAAUGAAUUAUUAUUUCCGCUGCGAAUAUUGAUUUAAAACUUGUUGU
RNAcentral lists this long non-coding RNA (201 nucleotides) under Panax ginseng (ginseng). Its description in RNAcentral is "long non-coding RNA (PGIN_LNC011606)". Lineage: Eukaryota; Viridiplantae; Streptophyta; Magnoliopsida; Apiales; Araliaceae. The record is from RNAcentral.